GGUGCGUAACGCGUGGGAAUCUGCCCUUGGGUUCGGAAUAACUCGCCGAAAGGCGUGCUAAUACCGGAUGAUGUCGAAAGACCAAAGAUUUAUCGCCCAAGGAUGAGCCCGCGUAAGAUUAGGUAGUUGGUGAGGUAAAGGCUCACCAAGCCGACGAUCUUUAGCUGGUCUGAGAGGAUGAUCAGCCACACUGGGACUGAGACACGGCCCAGACUCCUACGGGAGGCAGCAGUGGGGAAUAUUGGACAAUGGGCGAAAGCCUGAUCCAGCAAUGCCGCGUGAGUGAUGAAGGCCUUAGGGUUGUAAAGCUCUUUUACCCGGGAUGAUAAUGACAGUACCGGGAGAAUAAGCUCCGGCUAACUCCGUGCCAGCAGCCGCGGUAAUACGGAGGGAGCUAGCGUUGUUCGGAAUUACUGGGCGUAAAGCGCACGUAGGCGGCUUUGUAAGUCAGAGGUGAAAGCCUGGAGCUCAACUCCAGAACUGCCUUUGAGACUGCAUCGCUUGAAUCCAGGAGAGGUGAGUGGAAUUCCGAGUGUAGAGGUGAAAUUCGUAGAUAUUCGGAAGAACACCAGUGGCGAAGGCGGCUCACUGGACUGGUAUUGACGCUGAGGUGCGAAAGCGUGGGGAGCAAACAGGGUUAGAUACCCUGGUAGUCCACGCCGUAAACGAUGAUAACUAGCUGUCCGGGCACUUGGUGCUUGGGUGGCGCAGCUAACGCAUUAAGUUAUCCGCCUGGGGAGUACGGUCGCAAGAUUA
RNAcentral lists this ribosomal RNA (756 nucleotides) under uncultured Caulobacter sp. RNAcentral describes it as "bacterial SSU rRNA". It matches the Rfam family "Bacterial small subunit ribosomal RNA", at positions 105 to 896 of the family's 1533-position model. Lineage: Bacteria; Pseudomonadati; Pseudomonadota; Alphaproteobacteria; Caulobacterales; Caulobacteraceae. The record is from RNAcentral.